GAAGUAGCUCAGUUGGUAGAGCACCGGUCUCCAAAACCGGGUGUCGGGAGUUCGAGCCUCUCCUUC
RNAcentral lists this transfer RNA (66 nucleotides) under uncultured Bacteroides sp. It matches the Rfam family "tRNA". Rfam says of the family: Transfer RNA (tRNA) molecules are approximately 80 nucleotides in length. The record is from RNAcentral. Lineage: Bacteria; Pseudomonadati; Bacteroidota; Bacteroidia; Bacteroidales; Bacteroidaceae.